GACGUAGGGCGCAAGCGUUGUCCGGAAUUAUUGGGCGUAAAGAGCUCGUAGGCGGCCUGUUGCGUCCGCUGUGAAAUCCCGGGGCUUAACCCCGGGCGUGCAGUGGAUACGGGCGAGGCUGGAGGCAGGCAGGGGAGAACGGGAAAUUCCCGGGUGUAGCGGUGAAAUGCGCAGAUAUCGGGAGGAACACCGGUGGCGAAGGCGGUUCUCUGGGCCUGUACUGACGCUGAGGAGCGAAAGCGUGGG
RNAcentral lists this ribosomal RNA (246 nucleotides) under uncultured bacterium. RNAcentral's name for it is "partial 16S ribosomal RNA". It matches the Rfam family "Bacterial small subunit ribosomal RNA", at positions 524 to 765 of the family's 1533-position model. The record is from RNAcentral.